AGAGUUUGAUCAUGGCUCAGAAUGAACGCUGGCGGCAUGCCUAACACAUGCAAGUCGAACGAGACCUUCGGGUCUAGUGGCGCACGGGUGCGUAACGCGUGGGAAUCUACCCUUGGGUUCGGAAUAACUCAGAGAAAUUUGAGCUAAUACCGGAUGAUGACGUAAGUCCAAAGAUUUAUCGCCCAAGGAUGAGCCCGCGUAGGAUUAGCUUGUUGGUGAGGUAAAAGCUCACCAAGGCGACGAUCCUUAGCUGGUCUGAGAGGAUGAUCAGCCACACUGGGACUGAGACACGGCCCAGACUCCUACGGGAGGCAGCAGUGGGGAAUAUUGGACAAUGGGCGAAAGCCUGAUCCAGCAAUGCCGCGUGAGUGAUGAAGGCCUUAGGGUUGUAAAGCUCUUUUACCCGGGAAGAUAAUGACUGUACCGGAGAAUAGCCCAGAUUUCCCCC
This 448-nucleotide ribosomal RNA is filed under the name uncultured Sphingomonas sp. Its description in RNAcentral is "bacterial SSU rRNA". It matches the Rfam family "Bacterial small subunit ribosomal RNA", at positions 8 to 504 of the family's 1533-position model. Lineage: Bacteria; Pseudomonadati; Pseudomonadota; Alphaproteobacteria; Sphingomonadales; Sphingomonadaceae. The record is from RNAcentral.